Molecule: long non-coding RNA, 622 nt
Organism: Callorhinchus milii (elephant shark)
Lineage: Eukaryota; Metazoa; Chordata; Chondrichthyes; Chimaeriformes; Callorhinchidae
Exons: 3
Source: RefSeq, a predicted model, not a curated record
GUUGACAGUGAGAAAGAAUGAAAUUCUUGAACUCGAUCUGCUGGAGAUGGGGAAAUGGGGGUGAUAGGCUUGGGGAGCCUGGUGCAGGAGAGGGAGGACAUGAGAUGAAGAUGUUUCUAUACUUUGAGAUCUGGAGUCAAGUUUAGUCAAUCAUGUCAAUGUUUAUAUUUGUUUCCUCCUGACAGGUCGGUGGUGGGGUGGUGCUUACUAGGAUCCCAAGGGAGCAACUGCAGCUCAGGCUGCCUUCCCAGAGCAGAACCUUUGUGAUUUCUAAGGUCGGCCUCUGAUCAAUUUAAUCAUAGUUUCUGCUUCUUGGCUCUUUGAGAAUUCACUCCAAUGAUCUGAGUGAAGAAUCAAAGGUGUGGAUAUGAUUGUAGCUCUGGAUCAAUUGUGCCUGUCCACCCAUCAACCAAUCCAACCAUUCAUGCACCCAUCCACCUGUCAAAUCAUCCACCCACCCAUCCGCCCGUCCAUGCAUCCAUCCAUCCAGCCAUCUAUCUGUCCAUCCAUCUGGAGGAAUCGAUCCAUUCUUGGCUCUGCUGCUUAUGGUCCUCACGGUAAAGAGAUGAUUCUGACACAUCCCCCAGUCCAACGCCACCCGGACAAGCUCUCAGCCAUCACC